UACGGAGGGGGCUAGCGUUGUUCGGAAUUACUGGGCGUAAAGCGCACGUAGGCGGCUUUACAAGUCAGAGGUGAAAGCCCGGGGCUCAACUCCGGAAUUGCCUUUGAGACUGUAUCGCUUGAAUCAUGGAGAGGCGGGUGGAAUUCCGAGUGUAGAGGUGAAAUUCGUAGAUAUUCGGAAGAACACCAGUGGCGAAGGCGGCCCGCUGGACAUGUAUUGACGCUGAGGUGCGAAAGCGUGGGGAGCAAACAGG
RNAcentral lists this ribosomal RNA (253 nucleotides) under uncultured bacterium. RNAcentral describes it as "partial 16S ribosomal RNA". It matches the Rfam family "Bacterial small subunit ribosomal RNA", at positions 524 to 776 of the family's 1533-position model. The record is from RNAcentral.